Molecule: long non-coding RNA, 560 nt
Filed under: Malus domestica (apple)
Lineage: Eukaryota; Viridiplantae; Streptophyta; Magnoliopsida; Rosales; Rosaceae
Description: long non-coding RNA (MDOM_LNC002052)
Source: RNAcentral
AUAUUACGAUAUAAUGAUACUUAGUAUUGCAAUCAAUGACAUUUUUUUCAAGAAUUUUAAGAGAGAUUUUGCAAGUUCAUUACAUAAAUAUUUUCAUUAAAACGUGGGUGGGAAAUCUGAUGGGUGAGAAGAGCAUUCAUACAUACAAACCAAUUAUGGAGACGAAAUUAAAACUGGCAAUUAUUCUCGGACCGAAGACUUGGUCAUUUUCAUGGUUUGAGUCUCAUUUCCUUGCUCCUUCUAUUUUUAAUUCUUUUAUUAGCUUUCAACGGUUGAGAACUUGCAUGCAAAGAUUCAAGACUUUCCUUUCUCACCGUGUGAGCCGGCUAUUAAUUAAAAAAAUAUACGUAUAUUAUCUCUACUAAUUAAUAAAACUUUUAUUGUCAAUCAAAAGAAAGUGAAAAGAUAAAUUAGUUUUCUAUCACACAAAAAAAUGAUGGGCAAUAAUGUAAUUUCACAUGUCCAAAUUUUACUAUUUUUAUUUAAACCUCACCUACAUGUGAUGUUAAAAUACCUCUAAUAUUUAUUAAAAAUAAAUAAAUAAAUAAAUAAAUAAACCA